GAUGAACGCUGGCUACAGGCUUAACACAUGCAAGUCGAGGGGAAACGACGGGGAAGCUUGCUUCCCCGGGCGUCGACCGGCGCACGGGUGAGUAACGCGUAUCCAACCUGCCUCUGACUGAGGGAUAACCCGUCGAAAGUCGGCCUAAUACCUCAUGGCAUCGUCUGCGGGCAUCCAACGACGAUUAAAGAUUUCAUCGGUCAGUGAUGGGGAUGCGUCUGAUUAGCUUGUUGGCGGGGUAACGGCCCACCAAGGCGACGAUCAGUAGGGGUUCUGAGAGGAAGAUCCCCCACAUUGGAACUGAGGCACGGGCCAAUCGCCUACGGGACAGAGCAGUGAGGAAGACUGGUGAAGGGACGAUAGCCUGAAACAGCCAAGUAUCGUGCAGGAGGACGGCCCUAGGGAUUGUAAACUUCUUUUAGGCAAGGAUAAAGUGAGGGACGGGUCCUUCAGUGCAGGUACCGCAUGAAUAAGGACCGGCUAAUUCCGUG
Molecule: ribosomal RNA, 491 nt
Filed under: uncultured bacterium
Lineage: Bacteria
Description: partial 16S ribosomal RNA
Rfam family: Bacterial small subunit ribosomal RNA
Source: RNAcentral